Long non-coding RNA from Oncorhynchus keta (chum salmon), 1141 nucleotides. RefSeq lists it as uncharacterized. The transcript is spliced from 4 exons. The record is from RefSeq and is a predicted model, not a curated record. NCBI's taxonomy places the organism in Eukaryota, Metazoa, Chordata, Actinopteri, Salmoniformes, Salmonidae.
UAAUUUAACCAGGUUAACCUUUUAAUUUAACCAGGUUAACCUUUUAAUUUAACCAGGUUAACCUGUUUAAUCUAACCAGGUUAACCUUUUCAUUUAACCAGGUUGUCCCAUUUUGACUUAAAACAAUCAUGAUAUUGAGGUCAAUAUCAGUGGGCUGUUAUAUUUUAAUACAGAUACUGUCGUUCGUAGCUUCACUUUUCUGUUCGAGACAACGCCGGUCCUUAUCAUUCAACAAACACACAGUGCACUGGUUCCUCUCUAGGUUUAUAAUCUCCACCCUUCAUAGCCUGGUUCCUCCUCUAGGUUUAUAAUCUCCACCCCUCAUAGCCUGGUUCCUCUCUAGGUUUAUAAUCUCCACCCCUCAUAGCCUGGUUCCUCUCUAGGUUUAUAAUCUCCACCCCUCAUAGCCUGGUUCCUCUCUAGGUUUAUAAUCUCCACCCCUCAUAGCCUGGUUCCUCCUCUAGGUUUAUAAUCUCCACCCCUCAGAGCCUGGUUCCUCCUCUAGGUUUAUAAUCUCCACCCCUCAUAGCCUGGUUCCUCUCUAGGUUUAUAAUCUCCACCCCUCAUAGCCUGGUUCCUCCUCUAGGUUUAUAAUCUCCACCCCUCAUAGCCUGGUUCCUCCUCUAGGUUUAUAAUCUCCACCCCUCAUAGCCUGGUUCCUCUCUAGGUUUAUAAUCUCCACCCCUCAUAGCCUGGUUCCUCUCUAGGUUUAUAAUCUCCACCCCUCAUAGCCUGGUUCCUCUCUAGGUUUAUAAUCUCCACCCCUCAUAGCCUGGUUCCUCUCUAGGUUUAUAAUCUCCACCCCUCAUAGCCUGGUUCCUCUCUAGGUUUAUAAUCUCCACCCCUCAUAGCCUGGUUCCUCUCUAGGUUUAUAAUCUCCACCCCUCAUAGCCUGGUUCCUCUCUAGGUUUAUAAUCUCCACCCCUCAUAGCCUGGUUCCUCUCUAGGUUUAUAAUCUCCACCCCUCAUAGCCUGGUUCCUCUCUAGGUUUAUAAUCUCCACCCCUCAUAGCCUGGUUCCUCUCUAGGUUUAUAAUCUCCACCCCUCAUAGCCUGGUUCCUCUCUAGGUUUAUAAUCUCCACCCCUCAUAGCCUGGUUCCUCUCUAGGUUUAUAAUCUCCACCCCUCAUAGCCUGGUUCCU